UGAUUUUUUUCUCAUUCAUAUUUUCAGGCUGUUGAUGGUACCUAUUACAAAGAUACAAAGUCCCAACACAUAAAAGAUAAGUAACACCUACUCUGUAUUCAAUACUGCAUUGGAAACAAUUCACACAAACACAGUUUGACUAUCCCUUCAGUAAAACUGAGCUACAUUUUCCCAACAUAGCUUUGCAAUUUCCCAACAAAAAUCCCCCCCUCCCCCUUUUUUUUUUUACUAGCUCUUCAGUGAUACUAUGCUGAGUGCAGACUUAUCUACUUGGCACUCAUUCUUUACAGAUACUUGCUACUAACAUUAAGAUUUCUAAAUUACAAAAGUCUUCCAGGGACUUUAUGGGAUCAAGCUAAAAAAAAUAAUUUCCAAUUUCUAUUGUGAUGUGCUAAAAUACAUUAAGAUUGGUCAGACAGUUUCUUUUUUCCGAAGGUGGGAAUGAAAGGCAAGAGAUGGGAUAUUGAUUUGGGGUUUCGGAUGAAACAACAUUAUAAGAACUCAAUCCUUGUGCUCCCUACGUAUGUCCACAGUAAUAAGAUCUGGCUAAACAAGUUUUAAGCGAUAAUCUCUUUGGUCUUUAGUGCCAACAGAGGGGAGCGAAGCAGCAAGAUAAGUUCCUGCAAACCCAUUCACUGCAAACACAUAAAAGAUGCGAUUUCAACAGCCGAAGGUACGGCAUCAACUGGGGAGAUCUAGCUUGACUUUCAGAUCCUAAACUAAAACUGGAAGGAGAAGACCCCUCAAGACCAUUCCCUAGGCAUACAGUACCGCUACAACAGCGGUCAGUGAGAAACACCACGCACCAAACAUCCCAGUACCAUUUUCUCGUCUUUCUUUUAAGCUAAAGCACAUUCGAACGUACAGUUAAGAGGAAGCAGCUUUAACUUGGAAGACGCUCCAGGAAUUACUCUCCUAGAAAAAAAGCAGUGUAAGAAGGAAUACCCAGAGGCCACAUUGUCUCUCCUAAGUCAAGGCUGCCGCCUUGGCUUGAAACACCGACUGCAGACUUUGAUCGGCAAAUUUUACACGCUCUCUGGCAUGAAACAGCUGGACGGUACCCGAGCCCUCGAGAUCAUAGCCGGAGCCGGGCAAAGCGGCAAGAGAGUCAUUUACGAGCCUGUUGAAAAGUGAAAUAAAAUCUGAUAGGUCAGCAAAACAGGAAAUACGAACGUGUGGACGUAACACCCAGAGGACGCAGCCGAAGAGCGCUACAAGAACCGGAGUCAGGGUGUCAUAUGUGUACUGCCAGACCACCUGGACGAGUUCGGGUCAUGGAGAUUUCAAAGGCAGGACUUCAAAAGAAAAGCAUUUAAGUUUUCCAUAUAAAGUGUUGAAGACAGUGGAACAAGUUUGGCGAACAAAGUGGUGCCACAAGAUGCUCAAAGCUAUCUCUGUACCCUUCCUUGAAGUCCACUGAUAAGGCCUAACUGGGAAUUGGAGCAGACUGGGGAGCUGGCGAGGACUUCCAGCAGGGCAUCCAAAUAGCUGAAAACGGCUCGAUGCAGCUCACACCCUAUGGACUUAAGAGAAGAACCUGAAUCAUGUCAGUAAGCCUUACAGAUCUUUGGCACUGAUGUAGAGGCCUGCCACUCAUCGUGAUGUGCAGCUGACACAAUCACUUCACUCAAGUAUGUGCUGCAGUCCUGUCUCGAGGCUGUGACUCCAGCACACUGGCCGCUACCUUGAUCCCGUAGGAGACUCGGUCCGUACAAGCAGUCAGACCAUAAUCUGUCACGUUUCUAGAUCGGUCCCGGAUGUCCCCAGACAUCUGCACAGCUCUGAAAAGCGGUGGGCAAUAGUUGCUUCUCUUCUUUGAAUUAUAUAAUCAAUGAUUAAAAUAAUGUCAUGUAGAUACUCUGUAUGAGACCAGCCUCUCAAAAUAUUGUAGGGUGAAACAGCAAGGAAUUCCUUCAAGUUCUAUUAAUAAAAAGUUGGUAAAUGUUUUUUCCCUUCCCCCAACUUAUUUAAAGGUGUUUAAAAAGAAACAACAACAACAAC
This is a long non-coding RNA of Harpia harpyja (harpy eagle), 2001 nucleotides long. RefSeq lists it as uncharacterized. The transcript is spliced from 2 exons. The record is from RefSeq and is a predicted model, not a curated record. NCBI's taxonomy places the organism in Eukaryota, Metazoa, Chordata, Aves, Accipitriformes, Accipitridae.